RNAcentral lists this ribosomal RNA (788 nucleotides) under uncultured bacterium. RNAcentral's name for it is "bacterial SSU rRNA". It matches the Rfam family "Bacterial small subunit ribosomal RNA", at positions 1 to 776 of the family's 1533-position model. The record is from RNAcentral.
AGGAGUUUGAUCCUGGCUCAGAAUCAACGCUGGCGGCGUGCCUAACACAUGCAAGUCGAACGCGAAAGUGGAGCAAUCCAUGAGUAGAGUGGCGAACGGGUGAGUAACGCGUGGGUGACCUACCUCAGAGUGGGGGAUAACGUUUCGAAAGGAACGCUAAUACCGCAUAACAUCCUGCCUUUGGACAGGCGGUGAUCAAAGCCGGGGACCGCAAGGCCUGGCGCUUGGAGAGGGGCCCGCGUCCGAUUAGCUAGUUGGUAGGGUAAUGGCCUACCAAGGCGACGAUCGGUAGCCGGCCUGAGAGGGCGGACGGCACACUGGGACUGAGACACGGCCCAGACUCCUACGGGAGGCAGCAGUGGGGAAUUGUUCGCAAUGGGCGCAAGCCUGACGACGCAACGCCGCGUGGAGGACGAAGAUCUUCGGGUCGUAAACUCCUGUCGAGCGGGACGAAACCCUCGAGUGUAAAUAGCACUUGAGGCUGACGGUACCGCGAGAGGAAGCCCCGGCUAACUCCGUGCCAGCAGCCGCGGUAAUACGGGGGGGGCAAGCGUUGUUCGGAAUUACUGGGCGUAAAGGGCUCGUAGGUGGCCCCAUAAGUCAGACGUGAAAUCCCUCGGCUCAACCGAGGAACUGCGUCUGAGACUGCGGGGCUUGAAUCCGGGAGAGGGAUGCGGAAUUCCAGGUGUAGCGGUGAAAUGCGUAGAUUCUGGAGGAACACCGGUGGCGAAAGGCGGAUCCUGGACCGGUAUUGACACUGAGGAGCGAAAGCCAGGGGAGCAAACGGG